CCUACGGGCGGCAGCAGUGGGGAAUAUUGCACAAUGGGCGAAAGCCUGAUGCAGCAACGCCGCGUGAAGGAAGAAGGGUUUCGGCUCGUAAACUUCUAUCAACAGGGACGAAAGAAAUGACGGUACCUGAAUAAGAAGCCCCGGCUAACUACGGGCCAGCAGCCGCGGUAAUACGUAGGGGGCAAGCGUUAUCCGGAAUUACUGGGUGUAAAGGGUGAGUAGGCGGCAUGGUAAGCCAGAUGUGAAAGCCUUGGGCUUAACCCGAGGAUUGCAUUUGGAACUAUCAAGCUAGAGUACAGGAGAGGAAAGCGGAAUUCCUGGUGUAGCGGUGAAAUGCGUAGAUAUUAGGAAGAACACCAGUGGCGAAGGCGGCUCACUGGACUGCAACUGACACUGAGGCUCGAAAGUGUGGGUAUCAAACAGGAUUAGAUACCCUGGUAGUC
This 443-nucleotide ribosomal RNA is filed under the name uncultured bacterium. Its description in RNAcentral is "partial 16S ribosomal RNA". It matches the Rfam family "Bacterial small subunit ribosomal RNA", at positions 338 to 795 of the family's 1533-position model. The record is from RNAcentral.